CAAAGUCCUCUAUUUUGCGCGAAACAUCUUAACGUCCCGAUGAUCCAGAUAUUGUGCAACGCGUUUUAAGAGUUGUUGAAAAACCAAUUAACAAACCAGUCGUAGUCGUGGAUAGUUUUCGCUGGCUUGACCACAUCAGAAAUAAAUCGGCCGCUGUAACGUUCCUCCCUCCGAGGCAGCCGCGGCCGACUGUGGACAGAAGCAACUGUUGGUGGUUUCCAUGACUGGAAAAUCAGUCAACUGUUCCAGGUUUUCCAGUACGCAUGGCAACCCUGAUAACCCAAUCAGCCAACGCCAUGAAUCAACCAACGCCAGACCCACACUAUCCAGCCAAGCCACAGCCAGUGGGACCAACCCCAGCUUAGCAUAUGUCACAGUUAGCUAGUUGGCCACCCUGACUUGCAUCACUCUUGGCUAAGUAGGAAGUAAUCGUUGGUUAUACACAGGGGCACCCGGCACAUACGCCCACAGCGUGCUAUCCGCAGCCUACGGCAUCCUUACACUCAGCAAGUGCAACGGACCUUGAGACAAUCACUGCCCACUCCAUCUUCCGACCACCUAGCCAAACUUGCUGGAACAAACACCACAGCAAGCAGUGCGGUGGCCCCAGGAAGAGAGCUGUGAUAAGAGCUAAACCAAGCUUGGAACCAUGAGAGUGAGCAAGAGAAAUGUCAUAAAGAUUCGGCCCAGCUUUCAAACAUAGUGUCUGUACAAGAAAAACAUCAAAUACGUUUGGUAGGAAUCCCCUCAUUCUCUUUCCCCACUGUUAAAUCCAAGAACAAACUGCUCACCGCUAGGGGUCUGGGAGGUGCAGCAGAAGAUGGGAACUCAACAGGCUCUUCGGGUCCUUCGGCCUCACUUUCAUCACUGGAGAUUCGGCCAUGAACGAGAGGUGAGGGGACUCUGAGACUUCCCUCAUCCUGCCGCUGCUUCUCCUCCUCUGGGGUGCUCUCUGACACAGCCGUAGACCGACUGUAAAAAAACAACAAAAAACAAAUUCAACCAGCUGAUUUUCAAAUAUAUUGAAUAUAGUUAUAUUAUACAGUAAUAUACUGAUGCUCACUGCCUCUAACCCUCAUUGUCUCACAAUUAUUGGAUGUGUGAUGCUACGUCACAUGCAUCCAGGAACAUGAUCUAGAUUAGGGCUAAGCAAUUGAGAAGCAACAAAAAACUCAUUCUCAUCGUCAGUGUGACUUCAUGCAUAUUAAUUAGGACAUACACUUAGUUGCUAGCUAAAACGAAUGCAAUCUAAUCCAAAUGUACUGCAAUAAACCCUACCUUCAUUAAGG
Molecule: long non-coding RNA, 1289 nt
Organism: Micropterus dolomieu (smallmouth bass)
Lineage: Eukaryota; Metazoa; Chordata; Actinopteri; Centrarchiformes; Centrarchidae
Exons: 2
Source: RefSeq, a predicted model, not a curated record